GGUGAACCAGUGAUAGAGAAAAGUAAUUAAGAAAACAAGUGGACAGAGAAGAGUGCCUUGGCUGGAAGCAUUCUACACGAUGACUUAAUGAACGAACACUCUGGAGGUUUCUCUCUGAACAGUAUAUUACUUACUAGGAGUAGAACGUAGUCAGGCGUUAACUGAUUGAGCUGAAAGCAAUGGUAAAUUGCUUUAAUUAGGGUGGCACCGCGGGUAACUCUCGUCCCUUCU
This 231-nucleotide non-coding RNA is filed under the name Bacillus solimangrovi. RNAcentral's name for it is "T-box sequence". It matches the Rfam family "T-box leader". From Rfam's summary of the family: Uncharged tRNA acts as the effector for transcription antitermination of genes in the T-box leader family. T-boxes are found upstream of many aminoacyl-tRNA synthetase genes and some amino acid biosynthetic genes usually in Gram-positive bacteria. The record is from RNAcentral. Lineage: Bacteria; Bacillati; Bacillota; Bacilli; Caryophanales; Bacillaceae.